Molecule: ribosomal RNA, 562 nt
Filed under: uncultured bacterium
Lineage: Bacteria
Description: bacterial SSU rRNA
Rfam family: Bacterial small subunit ribosomal RNA
Source: RNAcentral
CCUACGGGAGGCAGCAGUGGGGAAUCUUGCGCAAUGGGCGAAAGCCUGACGCAGCCAUGCCGCGUGAAUGAUGAAGGUCUUAGGAUUGUAAAAUUCUUUCACCGGGGACGAUAAUGACGGUACCCGGAGAAGAAGCCCCGGCUAACUUCGUGCCAGCAGCCGCGGUAAUACGAAGGGGGCUAGCGUUGCUCGGAAUUACUGGGCGUAAAGGGAGCGUAGGCGGAUAGUUUAGUCAGAGGUGAAAGCCCAGGGCUCAACCUUGGAAUUGCCUUUGAUACUGGCUAUCUUGAGUGUGGGAGAGGUUAGCGGAACUCCGAGUGUAGAGGUGAAAUUCGUAGAUAUUCGGAAGAACACCAGUGGCGAAGGCGGCUAACUGGCCCAUUACUGACGCUGAGGCUCGAAAGCGUGGGGAGCAAACAGGAUUAGAUACCCUGGUAGUCCACGCCGUAAACGAUGAGUGCUAGUUGUCGGCAUGCAUGCAUGUCGGUGACGCAGCUAACGCAUUAAGCACUCCGCCUGGGGAGUACGGUCGCAAGAUUAAAACCUUAAAGGAAAUUGACGG